Molecule: ribosomal RNA, 30 nt
Filed under: Apis mellifera (honey bee)
Lineage: Eukaryota; Metazoa; Arthropoda; Insecta; Hymenoptera; Apidae
Source: RNAcentral
CCGCUUGGGAACACCGUGUGUUGUUGCUUU